RNAcentral lists this ribosomal RNA (423 nucleotides) under uncultured bacterium. RNAcentral's name for it is "bacterial SSU rRNA". It matches the Rfam family "Bacterial small subunit ribosomal RNA", at positions 207 to 622 of the family's 1533-position model. The record is from RNAcentral.
AAGACCUUGCGCUUUUGGAGCGGCCGAUGUCUGAUUAGCUAGUUGGUAGGGUAAUGGCUUACCAAAGCUUCGAUCAGUAGCUGGUCUGAGAGGACGACCAGCCACACUGGGACUGAGACACGGCCCAGACUCCUACGGGAGGCAGCAGUGGGGAAUUUUGGACAAUGGGCGCAAGCCUGAUCCAGCCAUGCCGCGUGAGUGAAGAAGGCCUUCGGGUUGUAAAGCUCUUUCAGCCGGGAAGAAAAGGCUACGACGAAUAAUCGUAGCUCAUGACGGUACCGGAAGAAGAAGCACCGGCUAACUACGUGCCAGCAGCCGCGGUAAUACGUAGGGUGCGAGCGUUAAUCGGAAUUACUGGGCGUAAGGGGUGCGCAGGCGGUUUUGUAAGUCAGAUGUGAAAUCCCCGGGCUUAACCUGGGAACU